This is a small nucleolar RNA of Callithrix jacchus (white-tufted-ear marmoset), 133 nucleotides long. Its record names the gene U8. It matches the Rfam family "U8 small nucleolar RNA". Rfam says of the family: U8 is a member of the C/D class of snoRNA which contain the C (UGAUGA) and D (CUGA) box motifs. U8 is the RNA component of a small complex (the U8 snoRNP) which is required for accumulation of mature large subunit ribosomal RNAs, 5.8S and 28S rRNAs. U8 RNA has been identified in human, mouse, rat and Xenopus. The record is from Ensembl. Lineage: Eukaryota; Metazoa; Chordata; Mammalia; Primates; Cebidae.
UUGACGGGUGGGAUGAUCCUUACCUAUUCCUCCUUAAGAAGGGCAGAUAGAACACGAUGAUUGGAGAUGCAUGAAAUGUGAUUAAUGCCUCUGCAUAAUCAGGACUUGAAUACCCUGAGCAUGCCUAUCUGAU